AACGAACGCUGGCGGCAUGCCUAACACAUGCAAGUCGAACGAGACCUUCGGGUCUAGUGGCGCACUGGUGCGUAACGCGUGGGAACCUGCCCUUAGGUUCGGAAUAACUCCCCGGAAGGGGUGCUAAUACCGGAUAAUGUCUUCGGACCAAAGAUUUAUCGCCUUUGGAUGGGCCCGCGUUGGAUUAGCUAGUUGGUAGGGUAAAAGCCUACCAAGGCGACGAUCCAUAGCUGGUCUGAGAGGAUGAUCAGCCACACUGGGACUGAGACACGGCCCAGACUCCUACGGGAGGCAGCAGUGGGGAAUAUUGGAAAAUGGGCGAAAGCAUGAUCCAGCAAUGCCGCGUGAGUGAUGAAGGCCUUAGGGUUGUAAAGCUCUUUUACCCGGGAUGAUAAUGACAGUACCGGGAGAAUAAGCUCCGGCUAACUCCGUG
This 433-nucleotide ribosomal RNA is filed under the name uncultured bacterium. RNAcentral's name for it is "partial 16S ribosomal RNA". It matches the Rfam family "Bacterial small subunit ribosomal RNA", at positions 29 to 507 of the family's 1533-position model. The record is from RNAcentral.